UCGUGCUAGGUGGGGAGCUAGCGGUGCCCUGAACCCGCAAUCCGCUCUAGCGGGGCUGAAUCCCCCUCCUAGGCCCAGCCUCAGGCCCAUGUCCGCGGGGAUAACGUUGAUAGCCGGGUCCUGCGCGGCGGAAACCCGCGAACCCCGCCAGGUCCGGAAGGAAGCAACGGUAAACGGGGCCUUCCGAGCGCCGCAGGUCUGCCUGGUUUGAGUUACCCCGUAGGAUACGCUUUGGGGUCAUGGUCAACGAGGGGUGCACGG
RNAcentral lists this signal recognition particle RNA (261 nucleotides) under Chloroflexota bacterium. RNAcentral's name for it is "Chloroflexi bacterium (groundwater metagenome) signal recognition particle sRNA large type". It matches the Rfam family "Bacterial large signal recognition particle RNA". Rfam says of the family: The signal recognition particle (SRP) is a universally conserved ribonucleoprotein involved in the co-translational targeting of proteins to membranes. Archaeal SRP consists of a 7S RNA and homologues of the eukaryotic SRP19 and SRP54 proteins. Lineage: Bacteria; Bacillati; Chloroflexota. The record is from RNAcentral.